Molecule: ribosomal RNA, 224 nt
Filed under: Clostridioides difficile
Lineage: Bacteria; Bacillati; Bacillota; Clostridia; Peptostreptococcales; Peptostreptococcaceae
Description: partial 23S ribosomal RNA
Rfam family: Bacterial large subunit ribosomal RNA
Source: RNAcentral
ACGAAAGGCGUAACGAUUUGGGCACUGUCUCAACAACAGACUCGGUGAAAUUGUAAUUCCGGUGAAGAUGCCGGAUACCUGCGACAGGACGGCAAGACCCCAUGGAGCUUUACUGUAGCUUGACCUUGGGUCUUGGUACUACAUGUACAGGAUAGGUGGGAGGCUUUGAAACGAGGACGCCACGAUUGUCCGAGUCUACCCUGGGAUACCCCCCUUGUAAGAAG